Molecule: ribosomal RNA, 253 nt
Filed under: uncultured bacterium
Lineage: Bacteria
Description: partial 16S ribosomal RNA
Rfam family: Bacterial small subunit ribosomal RNA
Source: RNAcentral
UACGGGGGGGGCAAGCGUUGUUCGGAAUUACUGGGCGUAAAGGGCUCGUAGGCGGCCAACUAAGUCAGACGUGAAAUCCCUCGGCUUAACCGGGGAACUGCGUCUGAUACUGGAUGGCUAGAGUGUGGGAGAGGGAUGCGGAAUUCCAGGUGUAGCGGUGAAAUGCGUAGAUAUCUGGAGGAACACCGGUGGCGAAGGCGGCGUUCUGGACUGCAACUGACACUGAGAAACGAAAGCCAGGGUAGCAAACGGG